AGAGAACAAUAUUUGAGAACUAAGCUUUAGUCUGAACAACUCAAGAGAUGAAUUUCCUGGAGCCCUCAGAUCUCUGCACACUAGCUGAUCCUUUGAAAAUGACCCAGGAAAAGUAUACGCAGAAUAUCAACAACUGGCUGGUGUAGUCAUGGGGAAGCCCAUGACUUGAAUCCUGUUCCACUAAGCGAAGACGUCUCACUCUUCCCCACCAAUGCAUCUUUGUGUUGCUGUAGAGAGUCCCGGUGACUCGGGGAGAAUAAAUAUAAGAUCUGAAAUU
This is a long non-coding RNA of Suricata suricatta (meerkat), 277 nucleotides long. RefSeq lists it as uncharacterized. The record is from RefSeq and is a predicted model, not a curated record. Lineage: Eukaryota; Metazoa; Chordata; Mammalia; Carnivora; Herpestidae. The transcript is spliced from 2 exons.